ACAUAGGGUGCAAGCGUUGUCCGGAAUUAUUGGGCGUAAAGAGCUCGUAGGUCGUUUGUUACGUCGGAUGUGAAAACCUGAGGCUCAACCUCAGGCCUGCAUUCGAUACGGGCAAACUAGAGUUUGGUAGGGGAGACUGGAAUUCCUGGUGUAGCGGUGGAAUGCGCAGAUAUCAGGAGGAACACCAAUGGCGAAGGCAGGUCUCUGGGCCAUUACUGACACUGAGGAGCGAAAGCGUGGGGAGCGAACAGGAUUAGAUACCCUGGUAGUCCACGCCGUAAACGGUGGGCACUAGUUGUGGGAACCUUCCACGGUUUCUGCGACGCAGCUAACGCAUUAAGUGCCCCGCCUGGGGAGUACGAUCGCAAGAUUA
This 373-nucleotide ribosomal RNA is filed under the name uncultured bacterium. Its description in RNAcentral is "bacterial SSU rRNA". It matches the Rfam family "Bacterial small subunit ribosomal RNA", at positions 525 to 896 of the family's 1533-position model. The record is from RNAcentral.